Molecule: transfer RNA, 84 nt
Filed under: Moheibacter sediminis
Lineage: Bacteria; Pseudomonadati; Bacteroidota; Flavobacteriia; Flavobacteriales; Weeksellaceae
Also listed under: 2 other names
Rfam family: tRNA
About the family: Transfer RNA (tRNA) molecules are approximately 80 nucleotides in length.
Source: Rfam by way of RNAcentral
GCCCGAGUGGCGGAACUGGUAGACGCGCUGGAUUCAAAAUCCUGUGUUCGCAAGGACGUGCCGGUUCGAUUCCGGCCUCGGGUA